UAAUAAGUGUUUUAUGGCACUUUUUAAAUCCAUAGUCCACCUUCGUGUGCAAUGUCAGUCGAUCUUCUUCAUGGAGAUCGACCAAACAUCAACCUUUAUCUUUUAACUCUUUGUCUGAAAAAUAUUAUGAAUAAACAAUUCAAAAUAC
RNAcentral lists this unclassified non-coding RNA (148 nucleotides) under soil metagenome. Its description in RNAcentral is "partial internal transcribed spacer 1". The record is from RNAcentral.